This 1102-nucleotide long non-coding RNA is filed under the name Homo sapiens (human). RNAcentral describes it as "HSALNT0113346". Lineage: Eukaryota; Metazoa; Chordata; Mammalia; Primates; Hominidae. The record is from RNAcentral.
CAGAUUUUGGAAUAUUUGCAUUAUACUUAUCAGUUGAGCAUCCCAAGUUCAGAAAUCCAGAAUCUAAAAUGCCUCAAUGAAUAUUUCCUUUGAGUAACCUAUAGGUGCUCAAAAGUUUUGGAUUUGGAGUGUUUCAGAUUUUGGAUUUUCAGAUUUGGGGUGCUCAACCUGCUCAAACUCUUAUAUAUAGUGGUUUGGGAUAAGUUGUUGCCAAUGUCAUUGCAGCAGUAAUGGUAGGAAGAAUUCUAAGGUGGCCUUUCAGGAUUUCUGUCCCCAGUGCAUACUUCCUGUAUACUGUCUUCUCCUUCAAUGUGGGCAACUUGUGAAUAUGAUGGGAGAUCAAUCCCAGAGAUUAUUCUAAUUAAAUGAACCCUAUAAAAGAGGGACUGAGUGCUCCUUGAGGUUGGAGAGAUGCUCAUGCUGGAUUUGAAGAAGUCAGCUGCUGUGUUGUGAGACUGAAACAGCCCUUGGGAGGACCACAAGGCAAGAUCUACGGGAGCCUCUCAGAGCUAAGAGAUGCUGACCUUGCAUCCAGAAAGAAAGUAGAGGCCUCAGUCUUACAGCAGCAAGGAAUUGAAUUCAGUCAAGAUCUUGUGAGUUUGAAAGAGGACAUGGAGUCCUCUUCUAUCCCAUCAUCUCUUCUAUCCCAUCUAGGGAUGUUGACCUUGGCUGACAUCUUGAUUUCAGUGUGGGGAAGUAGCUAGUCCUUUGUUUUUCAAAAGGAACAGAAGUUUGUUUGAAUUCUGAUUUGGAGCUUCAAAACACAACAUCAUACAUCAAGAUGCAGGAUGUGUUGUUCUGCGAUUAAAUAAUUAUUCCUGUGAGUUCCCAGUUUUUCAUUUGCACUGCCUUCUAAAGAGGAGCCUGGCUUGUUAGCAGACUGCUCUUUUGGUUUAAUAACUAAGAACUGGAAGGAAAGGGAAGGGAAAGGAUGACAGGAGGCACUAAUGCCAGGGUUGGGGGGAUUUUGUUCUGAGAAAUUUGUUGUAGGAGAAUGAGAGUUCUUUCUGACCUGAAGGCAGGAUUCCAUAUUCCUGGUGUUAGGAACAUUGUCCUGCAUGUAGUUGGUAUUAAUGUAUAUUUUUAAAAUAAACUAAAUUUA